AUCGCUUCUCGGCCUUUUGGCUAGAUCAAGUGUAGUAUCUGUUCUUAUCAGUUUAAUAUCUGAUACGUCCCCUAAUCUGGGGACCAUAUAUUAAAUGGAUUUUUGGAACAGGGAGAUGGAAGAAGAGCUUGCUCUGUCCACUCCACGCAUCGACCUGGUAUUGCAGUACCUCCAGGACCGGUGCACCUCUC
This 191-nucleotide small nuclear RNA is filed under the name Xenopus tropicalis (tropical clawed frog). RNAcentral's name for it is "U2 spliceosomal RNA (ENSXETG00000041927.1)". It matches the Rfam family "U2 spliceosomal RNA". Rfam says of the family: U2 is a small nuclear RNA (snRNA) component of the spliceosome (involved in pre-mRNA splicing). Complementary binding between U2 snRNA (in an area lying towards the 5' end but 3' to hairpin I) and the branchpoint sequence (BPS) of the intron results the bulging out of an unpaired adenosine, on the BPS, which initiates a nucleophilic attack at the intronic 5' splice site, thus starting the first of two transesterification reactions that mediate splicing. The record is from Rfam by way of RNAcentral. Lineage: Eukaryota; Metazoa; Chordata; Amphibia; Anura; Pipidae.